Long non-coding RNA from Eptesicus fuscus (big brown bat), 346 nucleotides. RefSeq lists it as uncharacterized. Lineage: Eukaryota; Metazoa; Chordata; Mammalia; Chiroptera; Vespertilionidae. The transcript is spliced from 2 exons. The record is from RefSeq and is a predicted model, not a curated record.
CGCCGAUCCUGCCAGCCCCCUGGGGCGCCGGGUGAGUAAGCGGGGAGUCUGGGCUGCCGGUGCAGCUGGGAACAUGUGACCUCUGACAUCUGGCUGCUGGCCAGCUUCCUGAUGGGGAGAUAAGGGGCCACGCGGCAAGCGUAAGCCUGAUGCUUCGAGAUACAGGGUGGGGCCGGCUGUGAACCUCACCCGCCCGUCACCAUGGCGGGCUUUCUUAUCCGAGCACCCCUCGACGAGCCGAAGGUCACCAGCACUGGGACUCCGCCCACCCAUUCCACGCUUUGCCCCUGAGCUGAUCACCUGCCCUGGGACUGGGAAGGCGCUUGAUAAAAGUUUUUGGAAUGAA